RNAcentral lists this ribosomal RNA (275 nucleotides) under uncultured Azospirillum sp. RNAcentral describes it as "partial 16S ribosomal RNA". It matches the Rfam family "Bacterial small subunit ribosomal RNA", at positions 338 to 630 of the family's 1533-position model. Lineage: Bacteria; Pseudomonadati; Pseudomonadota; Alphaproteobacteria; Rhodospirillales; Azospirillaceae. The record is from RNAcentral.
CCUACGGGGGGCUGCAGUGGGGAAUAUUGGACAAUGGGCGCAAGCCUGAUCCAGCAAUGCCGCGUGAGUGAUGAAGGCCUUAGGGUUGUAAAGCUCUUUCGCACGCGACGAUGAUGACGGUAGCGUGAGAAGAAGCCCCGGCUAACUUCGUGCCAGCAGCCGCGGUAAUACGAAGGGGGCUAGCGUUGUUCGGAAUUACUGGGCGUAAAGGGCGCGUAGGCGGCCUUGUUAGUCAGAAGUGAAAGCCCCGGGCUCAACCUGGGAACUGCUUUUGA